GUGCCAGCCGCCGCGGUAAUACGUAGGGGUCGAGCGUUGUCCGGAGUUACUGGGCGUAAAGCGCGCGCAGGCGGCGCGAUAAGACCGGCGUGAAAGCCCCCGGCUCAACCGGGGAGGGUCGUUGGUGACUGUCGCGCUUGAAGGCAGCAGGGGUGAGUGGAAUUCCCGGUGUAGUGGUGAAAUGCGUAGAGAUCGGGAGGAACACCCGUGGCGAAGGCGGCUCACUGGGCUGACCUUGACGCUGAGGCGCGAAGGCGUGGGGAGCGAACGGGAUUAGAAACCCCCGUAGUCC
RNAcentral lists this ribosomal RNA (292 nucleotides) under uncultured bacterium. Its description in RNAcentral is "partial 16S ribosomal RNA". It matches the Rfam family "Bacterial small subunit ribosomal RNA", at positions 505 to 796 of the family's 1533-position model. The record is from RNAcentral.